This is a small nucleolar RNA of Manihot esculenta (cassava), 107 nucleotides long. Lineage: Eukaryota; Viridiplantae; Streptophyta; Magnoliopsida; Malpighiales; Euphorbiaceae. The record is from RefSeq and is a predicted model, not a curated record.
AUACUAUGAUGUGGGCACUUUCUUUGAAUAGACUUAUUCCGCUCCCAUGCCUCAUACAAAGAUUCAUCUGGGUGUGGUCAAAUGGUAGAGAGCUCCUCCUUAACUUA